This 2859-nucleotide ribosomal RNA is filed under the name Staphylococcus aureus. RNAcentral describes it as "bacterial LSU rRNA". It matches the Rfam family "Bacterial large subunit ribosomal RNA". The record is from RNAcentral. Lineage: Bacteria; Bacillati; Bacillota; Bacilli; Caryophanales; Staphylococcaceae.
ACGAUAUGCUUUGGGGAGCUGUAAGUAAGCUUUGAUCCAGAGAUUUCCGAAUGGGGAAACCCAGCAUGAGUUAUGUCAUGUUAUCGAUAUGUGAAUACAUAGCAUAUCAGAAGGCACACCCGGAGAACUGAAACAUCUUAGUACCCGGAGGAAGAGAAAGAAAAUUCGAUUCCCUUAGUAGCGGCGAGCGAAACGGGAAGAGCCCAAACCAACAAGCUUGCUUGUUGGGGUUGUAGGACACUCUAUACGGAGUUACAAAGGACGACAUUAGACGAAUCAUCUGGAAAGAUGAAUCAAAGAAGGUAAUAAUCCUGUAGUCGAAAAUGUUGUCUCUCUUGAGUGGAUCCUGAGUACGACGGAGCACGUGAAAUUCCGUCGGAAUCUGGGAGGACCAUCUCCUAAGGCUAAAUACUCUCUAGUGACCGAUAGUGAACCAGUACCGUGAGGGAAAGGUGAAAAGCACCCCGGAAGGGGAGUGAAAUAGAACCUGAAACCGUGUGCUUACAAGUAGUCAGAGCCCGUUAAUGGGUGAUGGCGUGCCUUUUGUAGAAUGAACCGGCGAGUUACGAUUUGAUGCAAGGUUAAGCAGUAAAUGUGGAGCCGUAGCGAAAGCGAGUCUGAAUAGGGCGUUUAGUAUUUGGUCGUAGACCCGAAACCAGGUGAUCUACCCUUGGUCAGGUUGAAGUUCAGGUAACACUGAAUGGAGGACCGAACCGACUUACGUUGAAAAGUGAGCGGAUGAACUGAGGGUAGCGGAGAAAUUCCAAUCGAACCUGGAGAUAGCUGGUUCUCUCCGAAAUAGCUUUAGGGCUAGCCUCAAGUGAUGAUUAUUGGAGGUAGAGCACUGUUUGGACGAGGGGCCCCUCUCGGGUUACCGAAUUCAGACAAACUCCGAAUGCCAAUUAAUUUAACUUGGGAGUCAGAACAUGGGUGAUAAGGUCCGUGUUCGAAAGGGAAACAGCCCAGACCACCAGCUAAGGUCCCAAAAUAUAUGUUAAGUGGAAAAGGAUGUGGCGUUGCCCAGACAACUAGGAUGUUGGCUUAGAAGCAGCCAUCAUUUAAAGAGUGCGUAAUAGCUCACUAGUCGAGUGACACUGCGCCGAAAAUGUACCGGGGCUAAACAUAUUACCGAAGCUGUGGAUUGUCCUUUGGACAAUGGUAGGAGAGCGUUCUAAGGGCGUUGAAGCAUGAUCGUAAGGACAUGUGGAGCGCUUAGAAGUGAGAAUGCCGGUGUGAGUAGCGAAAGACGGGUGAGAAUCCCGUCCACCGAUUGACUAAGGUUUCCAGAGGAAGGCUCGUCCGCUCUGGGUUAGUCGGGUCCUAAGCUGAGGCCGACAGGCGUAGGCGAUGGAUAACAGGUUGAUAUUCCUGUACCACCUAUAAUCGUUUUAAUCGAUGGGGGGACGCAGUAGGAUAGGCGAAGCGUGCGAUUGGAUUGCACGUCUAAGCAGUAAGGCUGAGUAUUAGGCAAAUCCGGUACUCGUUAAGGCUGAGCUGUGAUGGGGAGAAGACAUUGUGUCUUCGAGUCGUUGAUUUCACACUGCCGAGAAAAGCCUCUAGAUAGAAAAUAGGUGCCCGUACCGCAAACCGACACAGGUAGUCAAGAUGAGAAUUCUAAGGUGAGCGAGCGAACUCUCGUUAAGGAACUCGGCAAAAUGACCCCGUAACUUCGGGAGAAGGGGUGCUCUUUAGGGUUAACGCCCAGAAGAGCCGCAGUGAAUAGGCCCAAGCGACUGUUUAUCAAAAACACAGGUCUCUGCUAAACCGUAAGGUGAUGUAUAGGGGCUGACGCCUGCCCGGUGCUGGAAGGUUAAGAGGAGUGGUUAGCUUCUGCGAAGCUACGAAUCGAAGCCCCAGUAAACGGCGGCCGUAACUAUAACGGUCCUAAGGUAGCGAAAUUCCUUGUCGGGUAAGUUCCGACCCGCACGAAAGGCGUAACGAUUUGGGCACUGUCUCAACGAGAGACUCGGUGAAAUCAUAGUACCUGUGAAGAUGCAGGUUACCCGCGACAGGACGGAAAGACCCCGUGGAGCUUUACUGUAGCCUGAUAUUGAAAUUCGGCACAGCUUGUACAGGAUAGGUAGGAGCCUUUGAAACGUGAGCGCUAGCUUACGUGGAGGCGCUGGUGGGAUACUACCCUAGCUGUGUUGGCUUUCUAACCCGCACCACUUAUCGUGGUGGGAGACAGUGUCAGGCGGGCAGUUUGACUGGGGCGGUCGCCUCCUAAAAGGUAACGGAGGCGCUCAAAGGUUUCCUCAGAAUGGUUGGAAAUCAUUCAUAGAGUGUAAAGGCAUAAGGGAGCUUGACUGCGAGACCUACAAGUCGAGCAGGGUCGAAAGACGGACUUAGUGAUCCGGUGGUUCCGCAUGGAAGGGCCAUCGCUCAACGGAUAAAAGCUACCCCGGGGAUAACAGGCUUAUCUCCCCCAAGAGUUCACAUCGACGGGGAGGUUUGGCACCUCGAUGUCGGCUCAUCGCAUCCUGGGGCUGUAGUCGGUCCCAAGGGUUGGGCUGUUCGCCCAUUAAAGCGGUACGCGAGCUGGGUUCAGAACGUCGUGAGACAGUUCGGUCCCUAUCCGUCGUGGGCGUAGGAAAUUUGAGAGGAGCUGUCCUUAGUACGAGAGGACCGGGAUGGACAUACCUCUGGUGUACCAGUUGUCGUGCCAACGGCAUAGCUGGGUAGCUAUGUGUGGACGGGAUAAGUGCUGAAAGCAUCUAAGCAUGAAGCCCCCCUCAAGAUGAGAUUUCCCAACUUCGGUUAUAAGAUCCCUCAAAGAUGAUGAGGUUAAUAGGUUCGAGGUGGAAGCAUGGUGACAUGUGGAGCUGACGAAUACUAAUCGAUCGAAGACUUAAUCAAAUU